UCUGCUGGAGAAAUCCACCUCAGCUUCAUCAUCUUCAUCAUCUGGAGCCUGAAAGAGGCAGAAACACUUCAGUCCAAACCAGCAGCUGAUAAAUCACCAUGAAAACCACCAUCAUCAUCAUCGCAGACAGCAGGGCGGCGAUGGCGGCCAGGGCUGGAAGCACAAACAGCCAAACAUCUGCAGCGGAUUGGGAAGGAGAACCUGCUGGUGUCACACUGCUGGUGUCUGAGUUUUCCCUGCAGAAGAUCUUCCUGCUUCCAGAGAAAGAAGAGCCACAAUGUCCUGAGAAAUCUUCUCCUGCUGAUCCAGUAAAC
Long non-coding RNA from Poecilia latipinna (sailfin molly), 314 nucleotides. RefSeq lists it as uncharacterized. Lineage: Eukaryota; Metazoa; Chordata; Actinopteri; Cyprinodontiformes; Poeciliidae. The record is from RefSeq and is a predicted model, not a curated record. The transcript is spliced from 3 exons.